GGUGGUGUGGCUGAGUACUUAAGAGCAGACUUUAGAUUCAGACCUGGGUUCAAAUCCUGGCGCCAUCA
Molecule: transfer RNA, 68 nt
Filed under: Canis lupus familiaris (dog)
Lineage: Eukaryota; Metazoa; Chordata; Mammalia; Carnivora; Canidae
Also listed under: 2 other names
Rfam family: tRNA
About the family: Transfer RNA (tRNA) molecules are approximately 80 nucleotides in length. Their secondary structure includes four short double-helical elements and three loops (D, anti-codon, and T loops).
Source: Rfam by way of RNAcentral